UGCGAAGGGGGCGAGCGUUGUUCGGAUUUACUGGGCGUAAAGGGCGCGCAGGCGGCUCUGUUUGUCAGGCGUGAAAGCCCCGGGCUUAACCUGGGAACUGCGUUUGAUACGGCGGGGCUAGAGUUCGGGAGAGGAGAGCGGAAUUCCCAGUGUAGAGGUGAAAUUCGUAGAUAUUGGGAAGAACACCGGUGGCGAAGGCGGCUCUCUGGACCGAGACUGACGCUGAGGCGCGAAAGCGUGGGGAGCAAACAGG
RNAcentral lists this ribosomal RNA (253 nucleotides) under uncultured bacterium. RNAcentral describes it as "partial 16S ribosomal RNA". It matches the Rfam family "Bacterial small subunit ribosomal RNA", at positions 524 to 776 of the family's 1533-position model. The record is from RNAcentral.